RNAcentral lists this microRNA (21 nucleotides) under Bombyx mori (domestic silkworm). RNAcentral describes it as "bmo-miR-2833b". Lineage: Eukaryota; Metazoa; Arthropoda; Insecta; Lepidoptera; Bombycidae. The record is from miRBase by way of RNAcentral.
AGAGAUUGGAAAUGUACUUUU